AAUACGUUCCCGGACCUUGCACACACCGCCCGUCAAGCCAUGGAAGCUGGGUGUACCUAAAGUCGGUAACCGCAAGGAGCCGCCUAGGGUAAAACUAGUGACUGGGUCU
This 109-nucleotide ribosomal RNA is filed under the name uncultured bacterium. RNAcentral's name for it is "partial 16S ribosomal RNA". It matches the Rfam family "Bacterial small subunit ribosomal RNA", at positions 1365 to 1482 of the family's 1533-position model. The record is from RNAcentral.